RNAcentral lists this ribosomal RNA (996 nucleotides) under Colletotrichum cymbidiicola. RNAcentral's name for it is "eukaryotic LSU rRNA". The stretch from base 653 to 806 matches the Rfam family "5.8S ribosomal RNA". Lineage: Eukaryota; Fungi; Ascomycota; Sordariomycetes; Glomerellales; Glomerellaceae. The record is from RNAcentral.
UUAUCUUCCUGCAUUAGGUAAUUAGGUUUCACUUUCAGUCAACCGAAGAAGGUUUAAGCCAUGUUCUUUGGACUCAUGGAAUCUAUCUUCGCGUGGGGCUCGGGUUUCGCCUCUCCUGUGGCCUUAGUCACGGGAGGCCCCACACCAGAAGGUGUAGGACCGCAAGGCUGCGGCGACUCCCAUUGCUUCAAGUCGUGUCAUGAUUUGCAUCACUACUAGCAUUGCUGCUUUUCAUGCGCAGACCAACUCCGUGUCACGUUCUGAUCUUCGCUUUGCCACUCAGAGACACGUCGUCAAAGGUUGUUUCUCGGCGGCGAUCGGCCCCAUGGGUCCGUCCGGCGGAGUUCCUUCUCGGGAGGCCUACCGCCGAGGCGACACGUGUAGGUAUGUUCACCAAGGGUUAAAAAAGCGGGAAAUUCGUAAUGAUCUCCCCCUUAGGGGGGGUUGCGGAGGGAUCAUUACUGAGUUACCGCUCUAUAACCCUUUGUGAACAUACCUACAACUGUUGCUUCGGCGGGUAGGCCGUCCCCUGAAAAGGACGCCUCCCGGCCCGGACCGGACCCCCUGUGGGGCCGGACUCGGCGCCCGCCGGAGGAUAACCAAACGCUAUUUUAACGACGUUUCUUCUGAGUGGCAUAAGCAAAAUAAUCAAAACUUUUAACAACGGAUCUCUUGGUUCUGGCAUCGAUGAAGAACGCAGCGAAAUGCGAUAAGUAAUGUGAAUUGCAGAAUUCAGUGAAUCAUCGAAUCUUUGAACGCACAUUGCGCCCGCCAGCAUUCUGGCGGGCAUGCCUGUUCGAGCGUCAUUUCAACCCUCAAGCUCUGCUUGGUGUUGGGGCUCUACGGUCGACGUAGGCCCUCAAAGGUAGUGGCGGACCCUCCCGGAGCCUCCUUUGCGUAGUAACAUUUCGUCUCGCACUGGGAUCCGGAGGGACUCUUGCCGUAAAACCCCCCAAUUUUUCAAGGUGACCUCGGAUCAGGUAGCUGCCAGUCCCC